Molecule: long non-coding RNA, 725 nt
Organism: Panicum virgatum (switchgrass)
Lineage: Eukaryota; Viridiplantae; Streptophyta; Magnoliopsida; Poales; Poaceae
Exons: 4
Source: RefSeq, a predicted model, not a curated record
CUGAUCCGAGCUGAGCCCGCUUUGCUGGCUUCCAUUCCACCCACCCAGCCAUUCAUUUCCGACCGCCCUCCAUUGUUGACUGGCGAGGCGCUCCAUUGACAGGUUAGCCCAGAGCUCUUUCCCUUCGUCUCCUCCCUUCUCCCUCACCAGGGCAGCACCAGACAGAUCUAUCGGGGGAGUACAACACCACCUCACCGGCGAUGGAAGGCCGCUUGCUAGAUGUCGGCCAAGGGAAGGAGCACACGCCGCCGGCGGCGGCGGCGACAGGAGCACAUCGCACUCGCUACUUGGUCGCGGUAUUUCUACUUGCCUUGUCAAUUGCUUAUGCUGCCGUCGUUCUCGACGUGGCCGACAUGUACGCUCAUAGCUGGAUUGAAAAGCUGCAGAUGCUGCCGCUCUGCAUCCUUGCUGUCGCAGCACCAAUGCUUUGGGUGAUCAUGUUCCGAAAAUUUCAAGAUGCAGAGGGGAAGGGAGGGAGGACACGGUUGUGAAUUGUGCUCCAUCUUGUGCUGCAGAGUAGUAGGAGACUGUUGUAAUCAGUUCAUGCUUAAUUAGCCUUGUGAUCGAAGGUGGACUGUACAUUUUCAUAUAACUGUCACUCUGACAGCACAAUUACUCUAACGGGAGUAAAACCCAGCUUUUAUAAAAAGAUUACUAUAUGUUUGUAAUAUCCGUUCAAUUCUACCGAUUUUAUUGACGAAAAAAAAGUACGGAUUAUAUUGCUA